GUGUCAGCCGCCGCGGUAAUACGUAGGGUGCGAGCGUUGUCCGGAAUUAUUGGGCGUAAAGGGCUCGUAGGCGGUUUGUCGCGUCGGGAGUGAAAACCUUGGGCUUAACUCAGGGCUUGCUUUCGAUACGGGCAGACUAGAGGUAUGCAGGGGAGAACGGAAUUCCUGGUGUAGCGGUGAAAUGCGCAGAUAUCAGGAGGAACACCGGUGGCGAAGGCGGUUCUCUGGGCAUGAUCUGACGCUGAGGAGCGAAAGUGUGGGGAGCGAACAGGAUUAGAUACCCCCGUAGUCC
RNAcentral lists this ribosomal RNA (292 nucleotides) under uncultured bacterium. Its description in RNAcentral is "partial 16S ribosomal RNA". It matches the Rfam family "Bacterial small subunit ribosomal RNA", at positions 505 to 796 of the family's 1533-position model. The record is from RNAcentral.